This 244-nucleotide long non-coding RNA is filed under the name Gossypium raimondii (Peruvian cotton). RNAcentral's name for it is "long non-coding RNA (GRAI_LNC006039)". The record is from RNAcentral. Lineage: Eukaryota; Viridiplantae; Streptophyta; Magnoliopsida; Malvales; Malvaceae.
CUUAACUCAAAAAAAUCUCCAUCAUAUUCACCAUGGACUCUUCAGAAUUCCACUUAGAACUAACCAACAUUCUAAACUCAGAGUGAAGCAUCCAACUAUCAAGACACUGGAAAGGUCUUGUCCCCUCUACCUGGCGAGGUUUAAGGGAUAAAAAAUUGGAUGAUGAUUAGAUUUUAGUCAGUGUAGACUCUGAACCAAGCAUUCAGACGCAAAAAUAUCAAAACUAGCAUUCCCUAUAGCCCGG